CUACCGACUAUACUGUAGUAAACAGCAUUGCUUACACUGAUGAUGACAUCUUGCUAAGCUAGAAGCCCCCGGAGGCAAGAACUCUAGCCUGAGCUCGACGGGAUUCUUGCGGCCUACCAGAGAGAACGAGCACAGGAGUGGCGGCUGGCAUCUCUGCUGGAACCAGUGGUGGUGAUUAAAGCUCCGGUCCCCCCUUUGCCGGUAAGGGAUAUCCCAGCACCCAGUUCACGCCUGUAGUCUUGAGCCACUGGCGGAAUUGCAACUCGGCAGCCAUACCUAGGAAAGAGGCCUGCCAUGCUGCCUAAUUAAGAUGGCAGACGCACCACAGACACCCACCCUUUAAAGCCCGCUAGAGAUAACUACAAGGCGACUGGAUGCAAUAUUUUUGAAUUUCAGGACGAAGCUUAACAAUUGACUGGGCAAUGGUGGGGAGAAGAAACAGAGCACUCACUCACACUACUCACCUCCAGCAAACCGGCAUCUUGAGUCUGGCUCAGCUCCAAAGACAACCACUGCGCAUACGGGCCUGAGAAGACAGAAGUGGA
This is a non-coding RNA of Pelobates cultripes (western spadefoot toad), 545 nucleotides long. NCBI's taxonomy places the organism in Eukaryota, Metazoa, Chordata, Amphibia, Anura, Pelobatidae. The record is from the annotation of a GenBank genome assembly.